UUACGAAUGGCGCCGGCGGAAUAGAAUUUUAGCAAGUUAACGUUCAAUUUUAUUUUCAGAUCUAUGGUUAAGCUGUUGUACCUGGGAAUCCCAGUGAUAGCAACGAAUCCCCUCAUGUAAUGUUACUGUAGUAACCUUCAUGCAAACCGACAAGAGCCCAUCCGGGAAGUGAUGUUUUAAGGA
Lingula anatina is the source of this 183-nucleotide long non-coding RNA. The record is from RefSeq and is a predicted model, not a curated record. Lineage: Eukaryota; Metazoa; Brachiopoda; Lingulata; Lingulida; Lingulidae.